Molecule: long non-coding RNA, 572 nt
Organism: Magallana angulata
Lineage: Eukaryota; Metazoa; Mollusca; Bivalvia; Ostreida; Ostreidae
Exons: 3
Source: RefSeq, a predicted model, not a curated record
AAGGUGGAAGGCUACAUCGUCACAAACAUGUCUGACUUCCGUUCGAAACGCCAUUGUGUUCCGGAUUGAUAACAUUAUGUCGUGGUACAAAAUAGCUAUACACCGUUUAAUUGAACUCUUCUAACUAAGGAGACGAGAUAGGACUGAAAUCACCAAAACGCUUAGAAAAUAUGUCAAUUUCCUUCCUGUUUAAAGCUUUUAACUAACAUUGAUUAUCAGCUGUUUUGUACGGAAAACGUGGACUCUAAAUAAUAUACCGUUUCCCUGCUCUGCUGCCAUUGGCAAUACAUUUUUGUCAUGUCAUCUGCAACAGACGAUCAUACAUAUGUGGCGGAUUAUCGAUAUAGAUACAGCUAGGUAGCAAUAGCAGUGGAAGCCCGGAUUUGCAAGCAAAAUGAGGGAAAGACAGGAUUCUGAAAAGGAGCAUGUUUUUCAUUUCCACACAUGCAUGUGUAUCACUAUGGACAUCUAAUGUUUUUGUGGGAUUUUGUCCAGCAGUUUGCCUUAACAGAAUUUUUUUAUAUUUUAGUUUCAUAUUUAUGUGGAUUCCAAUAAAAAUCAUACAAACUUCA